This 45-nucleotide non-coding RNA is filed under the name Schistosoma mansoni. Lineage: Eukaryota; Metazoa; Platyhelminthes; Trematoda; Strigeidida; Schistosomatidae. The record is from RNAcentral.
AUCUAGCUGACGAGUCCCAAAUAGGACGAUACGAGCGUUCUGGAU